Molecule: non-coding RNA, 196 nt
Filed under: unclassified sequences
Description: manA RNA
Rfam family: manA RNA
About the family: manA RNA has been located in 5'UTR regions of genes of mannose or fructose metabolism. Has been proposed as a cis-regulatory element and as a riboswitch candidate for his complex secondary structure.
Source: RNAcentral
UGUGCCUGAUCAGCACACUGGGAGUGACUGAAUAAACUUACUGGCAUAUAGCUGGUUAAGGUGAUACAUUAGAGGUGGUGCUCGCUGUCAGCAAUGACAGAACUACUCAACCAAGUAGAAUGUAGGCAGAGAAGUUUUUCUAAUCUGUAGAAAUGCCCUUCUCUUGUUGGUAUACAGGAUUCCAACCUCCCUCUUU